Molecule: microRNA precursor, 123 nt
Filed under: Hordeum vulgare
Lineage: Eukaryota; Viridiplantae; Streptophyta; Magnoliopsida; Poales; Poaceae
Description: microRNA MIR1122
Rfam family: MIR1120/MIR1122 microRNA precursor family
Source: RNAcentral
GACAUACUCCCUUCGUCCGGAAAUACUUGUCGUAGGAAUGAAUGUAUCUAGAUGUAUUUUAGUUUUAGAUACAUUUUUUUAUGCAUUUAUGAGACAAGUAAUUUCAAACGGAGGGAGUAUGUG